Molecule: unclassified non-coding RNA, 235 nt
Filed under: Hevea brasiliensis (rubber tree)
Lineage: Eukaryota; Viridiplantae; Streptophyta; Magnoliopsida; Malpighiales; Euphorbiaceae
Source: RNAcentral
GAUGGGUCAAAUGGCGGCGGCGGAAGCGAGGAAGAUUGACUUCUGGACCGAAAUGGCGGAGAUGGGUCAAAUGGCGGCGGCGGUUGACGGUGGAAAGCACCGACGGUGGUGGAGUGAGGAUCUAGAAGAAUUUUUAGAGGAUGUAUUUUUGAGGUUGACGGAAGCAGGAUGGAAAGAAGAGGAUGUUAGAGAAAUGAUGAUGAUGGAUGAUUCCGGUGACCGGAGGAGAUGCAGC